GGGUUGUGAGGUUAAGCGACUAAGCGUACACGGUGGAUGCCCUGGCAGUCAGAGGCGAUGAAGGGCGUGCUAAUCUGCGAUAAGCGCCGGUAAGGUGAUAUGAACCGUUAUAACCGGCGAUACCCGAAUGGGGAAACCCAGUGUGACUCGUCACACUAUCAUUAACUGAAUCCAUAGGUUAAUGAGGCGAACCGGGGGAACUGAAACAUCUAAGUACCCCGAGGAAAAGAAAUCAACCGAGAUUCCCCCAGUAGCGGCGAGCGAACGGGGAGGAGCCCAGAGCCUGAAUCAGCAUGUGUGUUAGUGGAAGCGUCUGGAAAGGCGCGCGAUACAGGGUGACAGCCCCGUACACAAAAGCGCAUGUGCUGUGAGCUCGAUGAGUAGGGCGGGACACGUGGUAUCCUGUCUGAAUAUGGGGGGACCAUCCUCCAAGGCUAAAUACUCCUGACUGACCGAUAGUGAACCAGUACCGUGAGGGAAAGGCGAAAAGAACCCCGGCGAGGGGAGUGAAAAAGAACCUGAAACCGUGUACGUACAAGCAGUGGGAGCCCCACCACUAAGCCAGUGGUGAACUCCACAUACGCAUCCUUUGCUGAGGAUACGGUUAACGGAGCGCAAGCGACGUUCAACCGCAAAAGAAGCAGAGGGGGCUUAGUGGUGGGGUGACUGCGUACCUUUUGUAUAAUGGGUCAGCGACUUAUAUUCUGUAGCAAGGUUAACCGUAUAGGGGAGCCGGAGGGAAACCGAGUCUUAAUUGGGCGUUAAGUUGCAGGGUAUAGACCCGAAACCCGGUGAUCUAGCCAUGGGCAGGUUGAAGGUUGGGUAACACUAACUGGAGGACCGAACCGACUAAUGUUGAAAAAUUAGCGGAUGACCUGUGGCUGGGGGUGAAAGGCCAAUCAAACCGGGAGAUAGCUGGUUCUCCCCGAAAGCUAUUUAGGUAGCGCCUCGUGAAUUCAUCUCCGGGGGUAGAGCACUGUUUCGGCUAGGGGGCCAUCCCGGCUUACCAACCCGAUGCAAACUGCGAAUACCGGAGAAUGUUAUCACGGGAGACACACGGCGGGUGCUAACGUCCGUCGUGAAGAGGGAAACAACCCAGACCGCCAGCUAAGGUCCCAAAGUCAUGGUUAAGUGGGAAACGAUGUGGGAAGGCCCAGACAGCCAGGAUGUUGGCUUAGAAGCAGCCAUCAUUUAAAGAAAGCGUAAUAGCUCACUGGUCGAGUCGGCCUGCGCGGAAGAUGUAACGGGGCUAAACCAUGCACCGAAGCUGCGGCAGCGAACGUAUCACUUAAAGCGAUUCAGCGGGUUACGAUUGACGGAGCGAAGCGACGUCAAAGCGUAUACAAAGUCGAGUCGGUUUAAGGAUACGUUCGUUGGGUAGGGGAGCGUUCUGUAAGCCUGUGAAGGUGGCCUGUGAGGGUUGCUGGAGGUAUCAGAAGUGCGAAUGCUGACAUAAGUAACGAUAAAGCGGGUGAAAAGCCCGCUCGCCGGAAGACCAAGGGUUCCUGUCCAACGUUAAUCGGGGCAGGGUGAGUCGACCCCUAAGGCGAGGCCGAAAGGCGUAGUCGAUGGGAAACGGGUUAAUAUUCCCGUACUUGGUGUUACUGCGAAGGGGGGACGGAGAAGGCUAUGUUGGCCGGGCGACGGUUGUCCCGGUUUAAGCGUGUAGGUGUGUGUUCCAGGUAAAUCCGGUUCACUUUAACACUGAGGCGUGAUGACGAGGCACUACGGUGCUGAAGCAACAAAUGCCCUGCUUCCAGGAAAAGCCUCUAAGCAUCAGGUAACACGAAAUCGUACCCCAAACCGACACAGGUGGUCAGGUAGAGAAUACCAAGGCGCUUGAGAGAACUCGGGUGAAGGAACUAGGCAAAAUGGUGCCGUAACUUCGGGAGAAGGCACGCUGACACGUAGGUGAAGUGAUUUACUCACGGAGCUGAAGUCAGUCGAAGAUACCAGCUGGCUGCAACUGUUUAUUAAAAACACAGCACUGUGCAAACACGAAAGUGGACGUAUACGGUGUGACGCCUGCCCGGUGCCGGAAGGUUAAUUGAUGGGGUCAGCGCAAGCGAAGCUCCUGAUCGAAGCCCCGGUAAACGGCGGCCGUAACUAUAACGGUCCUAAGGUAGCGAAAUUCCUUGUCGGGUAAGUUCCGACCUGCACGAAUGGCGUAAUGAUGGCCAGGCUGUCUCCACCCGAGACUCAGUGAAAUUGAACUCGCUGUGAAGAUGCAGUGUACCCGCGGCAAGACGGAAAGACCCCGUGAACCUUUACUAUAGCUUGACACUGAACAUUGAGCCUUGAUGUGUAGGAUAGGUGGGAGGCUUUGAAGUGUGGACGCCAGUCUGCAUGGAGCCGACCUUGAAAUACCACCCUUUAAUGUUUGAUGUUCUAACGUGGACCCGUAAUCCGGGUUGCGGACAGUGUCUGGUGGGUAGUUUGACUGGGGCGGUCUCCUCCUAAAGAGUAACGGAGGAGCACGAAGGUUGGCUAAUCCUGGUCGGACAUCAGGAGGUUAGUGCAAUGGCAUAAGCCAGCUUGACUGCGAGCGUGACGGCGCGAGCAGGUGCGAAAGCAGGUCAUAGUGAUCCGGUGGUUCUGAAUGGAAGGGCCAUCGCUCAACGGAUAAAAGGUACUCCGGGGAUAACAGGCUGAUACCGCCCAAGAGUUCAUAUCGACGGCGGUGUUUGGCACCUCGAUGUCGGCUCAUCACAUCCUGGGGCUGAAGUAGGUCCCAAGGGUAUGGCUGUUCGCCAUUUAAAGUGGUACGCGAGCUGGGUUUAGAACGUCGUGAGACAGUUCGGUCCCUAUCUGCCGUGGGCGCUGGAGAACUGAGGGGGGCUGCUCCUAGUACGAGAGGACCGGAGUGGACGCAUCACUGGUGUUCGGGUUGUCAUGCCAAUGGCACUGCCCGGUAGCUAAAUGCGGAAGAGAUAAGUGCUGAAAGCAUCUAAGCACGAAACUUGCCCCGAGAUGAGUUCUCCCUGAGACUUUAAGUCUCCUGAAGGAACGUUGAAGACGACGACGUUGAUAGGCCGGGUGUGUAAGCGCAGCGAUGCGUUGAGCUAACCGGUACUAAUGAACCGUGAGGCUUAACCUUACAACGCCGAAG
This 3109-nucleotide ribosomal RNA is filed under the name Salmonella enterica subsp. enterica. Its description in RNAcentral is "23S ribosomal RNA". It matches the Rfam family "Bacterial large subunit ribosomal RNA". Lineage: Bacteria; Pseudomonadati; Pseudomonadota; Gammaproteobacteria; Enterobacterales; Enterobacteriaceae. The record is from RNAcentral.